GACGAACGCUGGCGGCGUGCUUAACGCAUGCAAGUCGAACGGAGAGGCCCUGCUUUUGUGGGGUGCUCGAGUGGCGAACGGGUGAGUAACACGUGAGUAACCUGCCCUUGACUUUGGGAUAACUUCAGGAAACUGGGGCUAAUACCGGAUAGGAGCUCCUGCUGCAUGGUGGGGGUUGGAAAGUUUCGGCGGUUGGGGAUGGACUCGCGGCUUAUCAGCUUGUUGGUGGGGUAGUGGCUUACCAAGGCUUUGACGGGUAGCCGGCCUGAGAGGGUGACCGGCCACAUUGGGACUGAGAUACGGCCCAGACUCCUACGGGAGGCAGCAGUGGGGAAUAUUGCACAAUGGGCGGAAGCCUGAUGCAGCAACGCCGCGUGCGGGAUGACGGCCUUCGGGUUGUAAACCGCUUUCGCCUGUGACGAAGCGUGAGUGACGGUAAUGGGUAAAGAAGCACCGGCUAACUACGUG
RNAcentral lists this ribosomal RNA (468 nucleotides) under uncultured bacterium. RNAcentral's name for it is "partial 16S ribosomal RNA". It matches the Rfam family "Bacterial small subunit ribosomal RNA", at positions 28 to 507 of the family's 1533-position model. The record is from RNAcentral.